GGGAGCAAGAGGCGCAAGAAGCUGAGAAUGACCUCCCAGAACUGGAACUGCGUUUGGAUCAUGGUAUUGUAUGUAGCAGCAGAGAGAUCUGCAACCAUGGAAGCUGGGAGUGCACUGAAAAGUGGCAAACUGUCCAGCAUUGACUUCCACACUCUGAAGACGCAGGAAAUGUGGAGUUUUGGCUGACAGAAGAGAAAAAAGGAUAGAGUUAUUAACACACAGUGUGACUG
Molecule: long non-coding RNA, 230 nt
Organism: Chelonia mydas (Green sea turtle)
Lineage: Eukaryota; Metazoa; Chordata; Testudines; Cheloniidae
Exons: 3
Source: RefSeq, a predicted model, not a curated record